Long non-coding RNA from Cannabis sativa, 758 nucleotides. RefSeq lists it as uncharacterized. Lineage: Eukaryota; Viridiplantae; Streptophyta; Magnoliopsida; Rosales; Cannabaceae. The record is from RefSeq and is a predicted model, not a curated record. The transcript is spliced from 3 exons.
UCAUAAAUAUAUCUUUUUAAUUUCAUUUUAGGUUUUCUUGCUGAAUUACUCUUCUCCUUCGUCUUGAACUUGGGUAGAGCAAAAGGGAUUCCACAACAUAAUCAAUGCCUCAUGGCCGCCGUGGCCUGUGAACUCCGGUUUGGUUUGAGGAGGCAACAUACCGUUGAGUACUGGAUCUGAAAUGGCUGACGCAUUUUUUAAGCCCUUCUUUUCAUCUUUGAAUUUUAAUACUCAUGGCCAUAACAUGAGUACUGAUCGGGUUGAUUGUCAAUUGCAGGUUGUGUUGGUUUUGGUAUUGGCUAGAAGUUCUCCAUAGUAAGCUAUUUGGAGGGGACAACGGUUCUUAAGGAUCUAAUUCAGAAGGAUAACAUUACUAUAAGGCUUUAUCUCAAUGGUAUUGGCUUACAACCCAUGUCAAUUUUACCCAGAGAAUGCAAUGAUAGCAAAGAAUAUUUUUUACUGAUUUAGAUGCUGAGAGGGAAGAUCUGAAAGGGUGAAUUUCAAAAUACUCUUGUUAAAAUGAGAGUUGAGAUAGUUGUUCCACUUCACUUUCUUUUAAAUAAUGGGAGUUGAGAUCGUUGUUCCCGUUCACUUUUAAAUAAUUUACUAUAGUAUCGUUUGUAAUUGUACUUGAAACCCAUUCAGUUUCAUUCUUUCAAUACGUGUUUUAGUUUUAUUAUUUCUGGAAUUAUGUGAUUAUACUAUCAAGCUUCUGUAUUCAAUUCUUAAGUUUUUAUAUUUAUAUUCAACAUUUUUUA